This 463-nucleotide ribosomal RNA is filed under the name uncultured bacterium. RNAcentral's name for it is "partial 16S ribosomal RNA". It matches the Rfam family "Bacterial small subunit ribosomal RNA", at positions 28 to 507 of the family's 1533-position model. The record is from RNAcentral.
GACGAACGCUGGCGGCGUGCUUAACACAUGCAAGUCGAACGGAAAGGCCUUUUCGGCGGUACUCGAGUGGCGAACGGGUGAGUAACACGUGGGUGAUCUGCCCUGCACUCUGGGAUAAGCCUGGGAAACUGGGUCUAAUACCGGAUAGGACCGCACUUUAGUGUGUGUGGUGGAAAGUUGUUUCGGUGUAGGAUGAGCCCGCGGCCUAUCAGCUUGUUGGUGGGGUAAUGGCCUACCAAGGCGGCGACGGGUAGCCGGACUGAGAGGUUGGUCGGCCACAUUGGGACUGAGGUACGGCCCAGACUCCUACGGGAGGCAGCAGGGGGGAAUAUUGCACAAUGGGCGCAAGCCUGAUGCAGCGACGCCGCGUGGGGGAUGACGGCCUUCGGGUUGUGAACUCGUUUCGCCAGGGACGAAGCGUUUUGUGACGGUACCUGGAGAAGAAGCACCGGCUAACUACGUG